ACCCUGGGCUUCAGUGCAGCCUGACACGAAGGGAGGGUAGGGCAGGAACGGUGCAGGGCCAAGGCUGUCAGAGCACAAGCACUUGGAGCUGCAAUCAUGUGCAUAAAAGGCUUCAGAGGCUGAAUUGCACUGCAUUGCUCAAAAUACAUUUAGAUCCUCUGGGUACAGCAGGAUUUUCAAGGUCUACAACCACGUGUAGUGAAAGAUGUGAUAAAUGCUGAAGUGGUUUCCUAAGUGAAAUGAGGAAAACGAAAAUGAUACCAGUGCUGAUGAAGCUGCCUGAGAACUAGCACUGAAGAUAUAUCCUUGACAUUUUCGGGUGCUGAACAUUUAUCAGAG
This is an RNA transcript of Cyanistes caeruleus (blue tit), 339 nucleotides long. RefSeq lists it as uncharacterized. Lineage: Eukaryota; Metazoa; Chordata; Aves; Passeriformes; Paridae. The record is from RefSeq and is a predicted model, not a curated record.